CGCUCUUCCCUGCCCCUUUCUCCACUCUUCCCGCUCUUUCCUCCCAUCUUUUUGUAACCCACAGAGGACACUGCCUGGAAUAUUGAGCGACGGGGGCACUCCCGUCUACGAGUCGGGCGCCUUGCUCCCCUCCGCCGCCUGUUCAACACUUCAUUCCUCUUAGCAGUGUCUGCCAUCCACCCAUAAACCUCCUCAUCUCCGCCGGAACACCAUCCACCACCAUUCCUCCUUUUCCCUGAUCCUCAGCAGCGUCGCCUCCCUCCGUCACCCACUCUCUGCAGCGUCGCCUCCCUCAGUCAGACUUUUGAUCCAUUCCGCUGCCAAAACAGGUAACCGUCGCCCCAUUUUUGGGUUCCACCUUCAAAACCGCUAGACCUAUCUCUCCCCAUCCUCUCCCACCACCACCCCUCUCCCCAACACCCCCAAACCCGAUGUUAAUCAUUUCAAGCUUGCUGAGCACAGCGUUGCCCAGAAGCUUUCUCGCUUCCCCCGAAAUAUCACGCUUCCCUGCUUGACGAACAUCACCACCAACUCCAUGAGUAGGUCAUUCCAGCCGUCGACCUGGUCCCUCUGCUUAUCGGAGUUCUCGAAGUAAUUUUGGAUCUAUUUCGCCAAUUUAUACAGUUAAGGGUGGACCAAAUUCUGGGGUACUUUUUUAUGGGUGUGAAAUUUACAUAAACAACCUUCUUUGAGUUAUUCCAAUGUAUCAUUUUGUUUGUAGUUCAUUUUGACAGAAAGUUUAUUUAUGUCAUAGGGAACAGCCAAGUUUUGUAGUUUUUUCUGAUGGUGUUGUCAAAUAGAUGGUUUAUAUGUGAUGAAGCAAGACAACUUGCAAUUUUUACUUAACAAACUGAAGGAUGCAGGAAAGGAAUGAUCUAUACGCAAUGGUGAAGUUACCCAUGCACGGAUCAAUGAUGAUGAAGAAAUUACUGAAUGCAUUAACAGUUAAAGUAUUUUGAAAUAUCAAUGUACAUAUGAAUAGGUGAGACAUAUAAUGUAAUCUUUUUAUGCAACAAACAUGGUUUUUGGCAUCUUAAGUUCUGGUUUUAACAGUGUGGAGACAUGUAAUCUUUUUAUGCAACAAAUGUGGGUUUUGACAUCUUAA
This is a long non-coding RNA of Nymphaea colorata (pocket water lily), 1105 nucleotides long. RefSeq lists it as uncharacterized. The transcript has 2 exons. The record is from RefSeq and is a predicted model, not a curated record. NCBI's taxonomy places the organism in Eukaryota, Viridiplantae, Streptophyta, Magnoliopsida, Nymphaeales, Nymphaeaceae.